Molecule: ribosomal RNA, 253 nt
Filed under: uncultured bacterium
Lineage: Bacteria
Description: partial 16S ribosomal RNA
Rfam family: Bacterial small subunit ribosomal RNA
Source: RNAcentral
GACGAACCGUGCGAACGUUGUUCGGAAUCACUGGGCUUAAAGGGCGCGUAGGCGGAUUCCCAAGUCCGGGGUGAAAUCUUUCGGCUUAACCGGAAAAUAGCCCUGGAUACUGGGGGUCUCGAGCGAGGUAGGGGCAGCUGGAACUUCCGGUGGAGCGGUGAAAUGCGUUGAUAUCGGAAGGAACGCCGGUGGCGAAAGCGAGCUGCUGGACCUCUUCUGACGCUGAGGCGCGAAAGCCAGGGGAGCAAACGGG